Molecule: ribosomal RNA, 525 nt
Filed under: uncultured cyanobacterium
Lineage: Bacteria; Bacillati; Cyanobacteriota
Description: bacterial SSU rRNA
Rfam family: Bacterial small subunit ribosomal RNA
Source: RNAcentral
GGGAGUGGCAAGCGUUAUCCGGAAUUAUUGGGCGUAAAGCGUCCGCAGGCGGCCCUUCAAGUCUGCUGUUAAAAAGUGGAGCUUAACUCCAUCAUGGCAGUGGAAACUGUUGGGCUUGAGUGUGGUAGGGGCAGAGGGAAUUCCCGGUGUAGCGGUGAAAUGCGUAGAUAUCGGGAAGAACACCAGUGGCGAAGGCGCUCUGCUGGGCCAUCACUGACGCUCAUGGACGAAAGCCAGGGGAGCGAAAGGGAUUAGAUACCCCUGUAGUCCUGGCCGUAAACGAUGAACACUAGGUGUCGGGGGAAUCGACCCCUUCGGUGUCGUAGCUAACGCGUUAAGUGUUCCGCCUGGGGAGUACGCACGCAAGUGUGAAACUCAAAGGAAUUGACGGGGGCCCGCACAAGCGGUGGAGUAUGUGGUUUAAUUCGAUGCAACGCGAAGAACCUUACCAGGGUUUGACAUCCUGAGAACCUCUUAGAAAAGGAAGAGUGCCUUCGGGAACGCAGUGACAGGUGGUGCAUGGCU